AUGCUCUGAUGCUUAUUGCACCACAUGUGUUUUUCUUUGAAACAAACUUGCUUUGGCGGUGGGCCCAGCCUGCCGCCAGAGGUCUAAACUUACAACCAAUUUUUUAUCAACUUGUCACACCAGAUUAUUACUAAUAGUCAAAACUUUCAACAACGGAUCUCUUGGUUCUCGCAUCGAUGAAGAACGCAGCGAAAUGCGAUACGUAAUAUGAAUUGCAGAUAUUCGUGAAUCAUCGAAUCUUUGAACGCACAUUGCGCCCUCUGGUAUUCCGGAGGGCAUGCCUGUUUGAGCGUCGUUUCUCCCUCAAACCGCUGGGUUUGGUGUUGAGCAAUACGACUUGGGUUUGCUUGAAAGACGGUAGUGGUAAGGCGGGAUCGCUUUGACAAUGGCUUAGGUCUAACCAAAAACAUUGCUUGCGGCGGUAACGUCCACCACGUAUAUCUUCAAACUUUGACCUCAAAUCAGGUAGGACUACCCGCUGAACUUAAGCAUAUCAAAAGCCGGAGGAA
RNAcentral lists this ribosomal RNA (509 nucleotides) under Candida albicans. RNAcentral's name for it is "eukaryotic LSU rRNA". The stretch from base 142 to 295 matches the Rfam family "5.8S ribosomal RNA". The record is from RNAcentral. Lineage: Eukaryota; Fungi; Ascomycota; Pichiomycetes; Serinales; Debaryomycetaceae.